AGGAGACAGCGUUUGAUUAAGGUUUGCCUUU
This 31-nucleotide non-coding RNA is filed under the name Rattus norvegicus (Norway rat). Lineage: Eukaryota; Metazoa; Chordata; Mammalia; Rodentia; Muridae. The record is from RNAcentral.